This 63-nucleotide transfer RNA is filed under the name Choroterpes yixingensis. Its description in RNAcentral is "tRNA-Arg". Lineage: Eukaryota; Metazoa; Arthropoda; Insecta; Ephemeroptera; Leptophlebiidae. The record is from RNAcentral.
AAAUAAGAAGCGAUAAAUUGCCCCCAGUUUCGACCUGGUUUUAGGUGUAUACACCCUUAUUUA